RNAcentral lists this ribosomal RNA (278 nucleotides) under uncultured bacterium. RNAcentral's name for it is "partial 16S ribosomal RNA". It matches the Rfam family "Bacterial small subunit ribosomal RNA", at positions 28 to 310 of the family's 1533-position model. The record is from RNAcentral.
GAUUAACGCUGGCGGCGUGCCUAACACAUGCAAGUCGAACGAGGUAGCAAUACCUAGUGGCAGACGGGUGAGUAACACGUGGGCAACCUACCGUAAAGUGGGGGAGUAACUAGUCGAAAGAAUUAGCUAAUACCGCAUGGGGAAGUUGGUCGGCAUCGGCCAACGUCCAAAGGAAGCAAUCCGCUUUAUGACGGGCCCGCGCCCGACUUAGCUAGUUGGUGGGGUAACGGGCCUACCAAGGCUCCGAUCGGUAGCUGGUUUGAGAGAGCGACCAGCCA